RNAcentral lists this ribosomal RNA (417 nucleotides) under Triticum aestivum (bread wheat). Its description in RNAcentral is "partial small subunit ribosomal RNA". The record is from RNAcentral. Lineage: Eukaryota; Viridiplantae; Streptophyta; Magnoliopsida; Poales; Poaceae.
GAUACGGUGGCAAGUGAGCGAGGAUCGGGUCGUCGCAUCCUUAGUGGCGCGCUACAUUGGCGCCCGGAUGUAGUGGAAAAUGAGCAAGGGUAUUCGCAUUUGACUCGACGAGUGCGAAGGGUGAGGAAGCUAGCCGAGCCUAGGAGGAUUCGCUUAGGUAGCUGGAACAUAGGGUCUCUGACAGGGAAGCUUCGGGAGCUAGUUGAUGCAGCAGUGAGGAGAGGUGUUGAUAUCCUUUGCGUCCAAGAAACCAAAUGGAGAGGACAGAAGGCGAAGGAGGUGGAGGAUACCGGCUUCAAGCUGUGGUACACGGGGACGGCUGCAAACAGAAAUGGCGUAGGCAUCUUGAUCAACAAGAGCCUCAAGUAUGGAGUGGUAGACGUCAGGAGACGUGGGGACCGGAUUAUCCUGGUCAAG